AGAAUUCCAGGUGUAGCGGUGAAAUGCGUAGAGAUCUGGAGGAAUAUCGGUGGCGAAGGCGGCCCCCUGGACAAAGACUGACGCUCAGAUGCGAAAGCGUGGGUAGCAAACAGGAUUAGAUACCCUGGUAGUCCACGCCGUAAACGAUGUCUACUUGAAGGUUGGGAUCUUGAAUUCUGGCCUUCGGAGCUAACGCGUUAAGUAGACCGCCUGGGGAGUACGGUCGCAAGAUUAAAACUCAAAUGAAUUGACGGGGGCCCGCACAAGCGGUGGAGCAUGUGGUUUAAUUCGAUGCAACGCGAAGAACCUUACCUGCUCUUGACAUCCAGAGAAGCCAGCAGAGAUGCAGGUGUGCCUUCGGGAANUNUGAGACAGGUGCUGCAUGGCUGUCGUCAGCUCGUGUUGUGAAAUGUUGGGUUAAGUCCCGCAACGAGCGCAACCCUUAUCCUUGUUUGCCAGCACGUAAUGGUGGGAACUCCAGGGAGACUGCCGGUGAUAAACCGGAGGAAGGUGGGGACGACGUCAAGUCAUCAUGGCCCUUACGAGUAGGGCUACACACGUGCUACAAUGGUGCAUACAGAGGGAAGCAAGAGCGCGAGCUGGAGCGGAUCCCAAAAAGUGCAUCGUAGUCCGGAUUGGAGUCUGCAACUCGACUCCAUGAAGUCGGAAUCGCUAGUAAUCGUGGAUCAGAAUGCCACGGUGAAUACGUUCCCGGGCCUUGUACACACCGCCCGUCNUC
This 739-nucleotide ribosomal RNA is filed under the name uncultured bacterium. Its description in RNAcentral is "bacterial SSU rRNA". It matches the Rfam family "Bacterial small subunit ribosomal RNA", at positions 663 to 1401 of the family's 1533-position model. The record is from RNAcentral.